GACGAACGCUGGCGGCGUGCUUAACACAUGCAAGUCGAACGGAAAGGCCCUGCUUUUGUGGGGUGCUCGAGUGGCGAACGGGUGAGUAACACGUGAGUAACCUGCCCUUGACUUUGGGAUAACUUCAGGAAACUGGGGCUAAUACCGGAUAGGAGCUCCUGCUGCAUGGUGGGGGUUGGAAAGUUUCGGCGGGUGGGGAUGGACUCGCGGCUUAUCAGCUUGUUGGUGGGGUAGUGGCUUACCAAGGCUUUGACGGGUAGCCGGCCUGAGAGGGUGACCGGCCACAUUGGGACUGAGAUACGGACCAGACUCCUACGGGAGGCAGCAGUGGGGAAUAUUGCACAAUGGGAGGAAGCCUGAUGCAGCAACGCCGCGUGCGGGAUGACGGCCUUCGGGUUGUAAACCGCUUUCGCCUGUGACGAAGCGUGAGUGACGGUAAUGGGUAAAGAAGCACCGGCUAACUACGUG
This 468-nucleotide ribosomal RNA is filed under the name uncultured bacterium. RNAcentral describes it as "partial 16S ribosomal RNA". It matches the Rfam family "Bacterial small subunit ribosomal RNA", at positions 28 to 507 of the family's 1533-position model. The record is from RNAcentral.